This 1076-nucleotide unclassified non-coding RNA is filed under the name Hevea brasiliensis (rubber tree). The record is from RNAcentral. Lineage: Eukaryota; Viridiplantae; Streptophyta; Magnoliopsida; Malpighiales; Euphorbiaceae.
CAUGAUCUUGUUUUCUCAAGCAGACCCAAGCUAAGUGUCGCUGAGAAGCUUCUUUACAAUCUCAAGGAUGUGGCUGUAGCUCCAUAUGGAGAGCAUUGGAGAAAGAUGAGAAGCAUUUGUGUACUCCAACUCCUGAGCAACAGAAGAGUUCAGUCUUUUCGGGCUGUGAGAGAAGAAGAGGUAGAAUUCUUGAUGGAGAAGAUCCAGCAGAAUUCUUCGUUGUCUUUGCCUGUGAAUAUGAGCGAAAUGUUUUCUUCCCUGACAAACGAUGUGAUAUGCAGGGUAGCUUUUGGGAAGAAGUACAAUAAUGGUGAAGAUGGUAAAAAGUUUACCAAGCUAAUGGAUGAUUUGAUGAGGUUAUUGGGAAGCUCAUUAAAUAUUGGGGAAUUCAUUCCUUGGCUUGGGUGGGUUAAUUGGGUCAAUGGUUUUAAUGCCAAAAUUGAUAGAACGGCUAAAGAUUUUGAUGAAGUUAUAGAUGGGAUCCUUGAAGAGCAUAUGAUGAAUAAUCAGGAGGAUAAAACUCAUAGAAAUGGAAAAGAAGAUCCAAACAAGGACUUGGUGCAUAUUCUGCUUGAGCUUCAAAAGGAAAACGCAUCCGAGUUUUCACUUGACAGAGAACGUAUCAAGGCUCUCAUUUUGGAUAUGUUUCUUGGCGGGUCUGAUACCUCUUCUACAGUCCUAGAAUGGACGAUGACAGAGCUGUUAAGACAUCCUAGAAUCAUGAAGGAACUACAGAAUGAGAUCAGGAGAAUUACUCAUGAAAAAUCCAAAGUAACAGAAGAUGAUUUGAAUGAAAUGCAUUACCUCAAAUUGGUGAUUAAAGAGGCUCUUCGCUUGCAUCCGCCUUUUCCAUUGCUAGCCCCAAGAGAAUCAAUCCAAGAUGCCAAAAUAAUGGGCUAUGAUAUUGCUGCUGGAACUAUGGUUCUAAUCAAUGCUUGGGGCCUGGCAAGAGACCCCAACACUUGGACCAAGCCUGAAGAGUUCUGGCCUGAGAGGUUCUUGAAUAAUCCUGUAGAUUUCAAAGGCCACCACUUGGAGUUCAUCCCAUUUGGAGCUGGUAGGAGAGGUUGUCCAGG